This is a long non-coding RNA of Papaver somniferum (opium poppy), 515 nucleotides long. RefSeq lists it as uncharacterized. The record is from RefSeq and is a predicted model, not a curated record. NCBI's taxonomy places the organism in Eukaryota, Viridiplantae, Streptophyta, Magnoliopsida, Ranunculales, Papaveraceae. The transcript is spliced from 3 exons.
CGCGCACCCAGUUUGAAAGACAAAAUUUCUCUCGGGCCCAUAAUUUCCCAAAUUCCAUUUUCGUUUUGUAUUUAUUUCCAAACUAACCUCCAGAGAGGCGAGAGCGAAGGUGAUGAUUUUAUCAACAAAGAGUCGAUGAAGGUCGUCAUCAACAGUGGUUUAUGGUGAUUCAACCAACAAAGAUGACCUCGCAGAUAAAGUGAAAAGAAAAGUCAUUCCUUGACGGAAUCUGUAUCAUCAAAACUAAGUCACCGGUGUGAAAGUAAAAUGGAACAAUUAGCGUAACAAUGUGGAUGGAAGAGGAUUCACUAAAUAUGUGAAGGGUGGUGAAACCCCCAUUAGUCAUCCCAGUCAGGGGUUCGGAUCGUUUAAUGAAAAAAUGUUAGAAUUCGGUCUUUAUUUCACUUUCAGUAGGAGAACUUUUGAACUCUAUUCAAGUUGUGGUCGUCUUGUGGUCUCCUCACUGUACUAAUAUGAUCGUCUUGUGGUCUAUUUUUUUUCAUUUGGUUUCUCUU